AUUGAACGCUGGCGGCAGGCUUAACACAUGCAAGUCGAACGGUAACAGGAAACAGCUUGCUGUUUCGCUGACGAGUGGCGGACGGGUGAGUAAUGUCUGGAAACUGCCUGAUGGAGGGGGAUAAUUACUGGAAACGGUAGCUAAUACCGCAUAACGUCGCCAGACCAAAGAGGGGGACCUUCGGGCCUCUUGCAAUCGGAUGUGUCCAGAUGGGAUUAGCUAGUAGGUGGGGUAACGGCUCACCUAGGGGACGAUACCUAGCUGGUCUGAGAGGAUGACGAGCCACACUGGAACUGAGACACGGUCCAGACUCCUACGGGAGGCAGCAGUGGGGAAUAUUGCAAAAUGGGCGCAAGCCUGAUGCAGCCAUGCCGGGUGUAUGAAGAAGGCCUUCGGGUUGUAAAGUACUUUCAGCGGGGAGGAAGGGAGUAAAGUCAAUACCUUUGCUCAUUGACGUUACCCGCAGAAGAAGCACCGGCUAACUCCGUGCCAGCAGCCGCCGUAA
This 505-nucleotide ribosomal RNA is filed under the name uncultured bacterium. RNAcentral's name for it is "partial 16S ribosomal RNA". It matches the Rfam family "Bacterial small subunit ribosomal RNA", at positions 30 to 523 of the family's 1533-position model. The record is from RNAcentral.